GUAGUCCACGCCGUAAACGAUGAAUACUAGGUGUGGGGGUUGUCAUGACUUCCGUGCCGCAGUUAACACAAUAAGUAUUCCGCCUGGGGAGUACGGUCGCAAGAUUAAAACUCAAAGGAAUUGACGGGGGCCCGCAUAAGCAGCGGAGCAUGUGGUUUAAUUCGAAGCAACGCGAAGAACCUUACCUAGACUUGACAUCUCCUGAAUUACUCGUAACUGAGGAAGCCCUUCGGGGCAGGAAGACAGGUGGUGCAUGGUUGUCGUCAGCUCGUGUCGUGAGAUGUUGGGUUAAGUCCCGCAACGAGCGCAACCCUUGUUGUUAGUUGCUACCAUUAAGUUGAGCACUCUAACGAGACUGCCGCGGUUAACGCGGAGGAAGGUGGGGAUGACGUCAAAUCAUCAUGCCCCUUAUGUCUAGGGCUACACACGUGCUACAAUGGGGAGUACAAAGAGACGCAAAGCCGCGAGGCAGAGCAAAACUCAAAAACUUCUCCCAGUUCGGAUUGCAGGCUGAAACUCGCCUGCAUGAAGCCGGAGUUGCUAGUAAUCGCGAAUCAGAAUGUCGCGGUGAAUACGUUCCCGGGCCUUGUACACACCGCCCGUCACACCAUGAGAGUUGGCAAUACCCGAAGUCCGUGAGCUAACCGUAAGGAGGCAGCGGCCGAAGGUAGGGUCAGCGAUUGGGGGUGAAGUCG
RNAcentral lists this ribosomal RNA (695 nucleotides) under uncultured bacterium. RNAcentral describes it as "bacterial SSU rRNA". It matches the Rfam family "Bacterial small subunit ribosomal RNA", at positions 790 to 1488 of the family's 1533-position model. The record is from RNAcentral.